AUGUCCAGGAGCCUCCUGCGGUCGUCUCCUUCAACUACACAAAAGAACCCGUGCCGGAACGCCCCGCGGCCUCGCCAUCAUCCUCAUCUUCUCCCCCGGUCGCCGACGUCCAUCGCCGAUUGCCGCUGCUCCGGGCCGCCCCGACCUCCCAACCUCGUCCACAAGCACCGGGACCCCGAGACCGAUGUUGAUGUCCCUGUGAUCGACUACGUCGACGACGACACUUCUUCCCUUUCAGCGGAGCUUCCAGAUGAUGGAUCCCUGGAGCCAAAUGCCACCGCCAAUGGAUGCUACUACAUGGAGACCACUGACGACCAGGAGUAG
Molecule: ribosomal RNA, 324 nt
Filed under: Triticum aestivum (bread wheat)
Lineage: Eukaryota; Viridiplantae; Streptophyta; Magnoliopsida; Poales; Poaceae
Description: partial small subunit ribosomal RNA
Source: RNAcentral